CUCGUGAGACUUACUCACUAUCACGAGAACAGUAUGCAGAAAACCGCCCUCAUGAUUCAAUUAUCUCCACCUGGCCCCACAUUGACACAUGGGGAUUAUUGCAAUUAAGGUGAGAUUUGGGUGGCGACACAGCUAAACCUUUUCAUACCAUAUACAAAAAUUAACCCCAAAUGGAUCAAAUGCCUAAUUGUGAAAACUAAAUUUAUUCAACUCUUAUUUUCUUUAUUAAAGAAAAAAGUAUAAAUCUUUUUGACCUUGAAUUAGACAGCUGUUUUUUAACUUCUAUAUCAAAAGUUCAGGCAACAACAACAAAAUAGAUAAUUGGACUUAAUUAAAAUUGAGACUUUUGUGUUUCAUAGAAUAUCAUCAAGACAAUGAAAAGGCAACCCACUGAACAGAAAAUAUUUGCAAAUUAUGUAUAUGAAAAGGGCCAAACAUCCAGAUAGUAAAGAAUUCCUGCAACUCAACAAUAAAAAUAUAAAAAUCCCAAUUUAUAAAAAUAGGCAAAUGGGCAAAGUAUUUGAAGAGAUAUUUCUAAAAUGAAGAUAUGUAAAUGGCCAGUAAACAUGAAAGAAAUGUUCAACAUCAUUGGUCAUUGGGGAAAUACAAAUCAAAACCAUAAUGAGACACCCCUUCAAACCCACUAGAAUGAUUAUAAUAUUUUUAAAAGAAAACAAUUUUUUUGGUGAAUAUAUAGAGAAAUUGGAACUCAUAUAUCACUGGUAAAAAAUGUAAAAUAGUACAGCUGCUAUGGAAAACACUUUGGUGAUUUCUCAAAAAUUUAAAUAAGAAGUUACCAGAUGAUUCAGCAAUGUCACUCCUAAGUAUAUCCAAGAGAAUGGAAAAACAUGUCAAAGCAAAAAUUUGUACAUGAAUAUUUGUAGCAGCAUUGUUUAUAUAGCCUCACUAGAAAGAACUGAAAUGUCCAUCAAUGGAUGAAUGGAUGAACAAAAUAUGCUAUUUCCAUACAGUGGGAUUAUUCACAGUCAUAAAAAGAAUGAAGUACUGACACAUGCUGCAACAUGAAUAGAUCUUGAAAGUAGUAUGCUAAAUGAAAGAAGCAGAUCACGAUGAAUGAAGAGCUACUGAGAAAAGAAGGCUUUGGUAUCAUCUCAUUGGCAGACUAGAGAGCUCCCAGUCAGGAAAGAGAAAGUCUGGAGUUCCAUAAAAAGAACAGAGUCAUUUCGAUCUCGUCAAGAUCAGUACUCAUCAAGCCAUGAGGAGACUCAACGCUACUCAUCAAGCUAUGAGGAGACUCAACGCAUGUCCGUUGAAUGACUGACUGUUACCUGUUUUCUUCUUCUGAAAACAACUAUAUUUGUAGGUUGUAGGGUUAAUCAAGGCACUAAUAUCACAUGGCCAAUGUGAAGGAUAUAGGACUAGGAGUCAAAAGUCCUAUUGCUAGUUCUAAAUUAGUAGUAAUUACAGUAAUAAUAAUAAACAUUUAUUAAGGGCUUAACAUUAUGCAUUAUCAUGCAUUAACUCAUUUUUUGCCAAUAAUGUUGUAAAGUAGGUAUUCAUACUAUCAACUAAAUUUUUGUAAAGCAGAAAUUGAGGUGUGGAGAAGUUAACCAUUUUGCUGUAAAUCACAGAGCUAGUAAGUGGUGAAGCCAAGCAUUUAACCCAGAGCUUUUUUUCUAAAUAUUAUGUUUUGCAAGUAAAAUAGUUGUGUUUUGUUAAACCAAUCACUUUGUACCUUAGUGGCUACCUUUGUGAGAUUAGCAUAAUGUUACCUACCUCAGAAGAGUAGUACAGACGGGGGCUUCAAACUGAAUAUUUAUGAGUACAUUUUCCAAUAUACAUAUGUAUGAGAUAGUUUACUGUUUCCAGGACACUUACACUAUCAUCAGAUGUCAGGACUUGGGGGCCAAGGUAGAAAUGAUUGAGAUCUCCCUUUUGCUAUAGUUCAAAUUCACAUUGUUCUGGGGACAAAUGAUAUUCUUCAAUAAUACCGAGUAAUCUUUGUGGCAUAAACUCUUGGAGCAGUAACAUAUAUAAAAUGUUUGUUUGUAAAAGAACAAAAACCUCUCAUAUGUUAAGUUAUUAUUUUUAGUUUCCAUCUAGGCCAAUAAUUUUCCAUGUCCUUAGGAAGAUUUCCUUAAUGUACUCACACAUACACACACACCUGCACAUGUAUACACAUGCACAGAUUCUCAGACGCACUCACCCAGAGGCAUAUAUAUAUACACAUGUCCCUGUUACAGAGUUACAAUGUGCUUGAUUGCUUGUUGGUGGCAGCUGGUGAUGGAACAUGGCAUUUCUAAAGACAAGCACAAGGUUCCUAGGUGGUUAGGAAAAUUCCAUAGUUUUAUCUCCUGAGGUCUUUGAGUUAAGGAGAAGAAUUUUUAUUUUGUUUGCUUUUAGCAAAAGAUAAAGAGAAUGAUAAUAACACAAUUUCAGGGAUUGACAUGCAUUAAUCCUUAAGUCUGAUAUAUUUGGGAAUGAUAAAAAUGGUGGUAUAUAAGGACACUACUGAUGUUCUUGUCACAUUUGUAUUGGGGAACCUUUACUCUUAUUUCACUAUGAAUUAUUGAGAUGUUGUAACACCAAUUUGAAAAUAUGUGUGUGUGUGUUUGUGUGUGUGUGUGUGUGUGUGUUUACGCAUGCAUGUGUGUUCUAAUCCUCUCUGACUUCUUCAAAUUGUGGACAAGUAGUCCAUCACAGAAACUGUCGCAUAAUUUACAGAAAAUAUUAAAUUAGCUCUGUAUCAAACAUUAAGCAUGCAAGCAGGGCAAACUGAGCCCAAAAAAAUCCUUUGUGGUGACAUGGAUUUUAAAAUUGUGCUUACCUGGGCUGGGUGGGGUGGCUCACACCUGUAAUUCCAGCACUUUGUGAGGCCAAUGCAGGUGGAUCACUUGGGGCUAGGAGUUCGAGACCAUCCUGGCCAAUGUGGUGAAAUACUGUCUCUACUAAAAAUACACACACACACACACACACACACACACACACACACAAAAGGCGAGGCAUGGUGGCAUGCAUCUGUAAUCCCAGCUAUUUGGGAGGCUGAGACAGGAGAAUUACUUGGGCCCAGGAGGCAGAGGUUACAGUGAGUGCAGAUCGUCCUACUGCAGUCCAUGCUGGGCAACAGAGUGAGAUUCUGCCUCAAAAAACAAACAAACAACAACAAAAUAAAACAAAACAAAGCAAACUCACCUAAUGUAUAGUUAUAAUGCCCUAUUUUUUUCUUUCUGAAACUAGCAAGCAAAAAUAGGAUUUCUUUCUCCAUUUGGGCAACAGCCUUCCAGAGGUCCAUGGCUUUCAUCAUGUAUGCUGAUUGUUCUUCUUUCUCGGUGCCUACCCGCUUUUCCUGGGAUCAGUGAUUUUCUUCUUCUCUAGGACUAGCUCUCAUAUAGCAUGGGAGGGUUUACUAACUGGUGUCUAAGGAAAAAAUGGCAAUGUAUACUAAAAUAAGUCAAUAUAAAUUAGUUGUGUAUGUAUGUAAAUGAGUUGAACAUAAUCAUCACUGUUGAAUAAUGACAUAAUUCCCUUUCCUUGAUUGACAAUUUGUUCAGUACCUAAGACCACACAGUGCCAAAAUCAGCAUCUAUGAGUGUGUGUGUGUACACACGUGUAGCAGUUGUGUGUUGUGAGUAGGGUGGGCAUUAAUGACUCGCAUUUUAAGUGGGUGCCCUUUCAUUCUGAUUGCCUUUCAAGGCUUUUUCUUCUGUUUUUCAGAGAUUCAUUUUAAUACACAUUGCCAUCUUAACCUUUGAUGCCAGUUAGUAAAUCCCCCCAGGACUUACCUUUAACGUUAAUUUUCUCAGCUUCUAUCAAUAGUAUCCUCACAUAAAGGCUUGUUAAAGAUUCAAAUGGUGUAUCUUGGAGUUUGCAGGACCAUGGAGUAGCACAGAGAGGCUGUAAGCUCCAGGGCUGAUAAUCAGGAGCUGGUGCCCUACUCUGCAUAUCCCUGUGAGUAUUUGCAAGUCCCACACCCAUUCCAGUCCUCAGUAAAAUCAGGAUAUGGGAAAACAGGUCCUGAUGAUUACUUCUAGUUUUAAGCACCUGUGACUCUAAACUUUAAAGCAGUAUAUUCAGAAUGUGAGAUAUUUCAUUCUCCUUAAACUUUGCUGUUAUCUAUAGAUAAGGCAGGUUGAAAUCCAUAAGAAGGAGGUGUGUCCACACACCAGCAAAUACAGAGUCUGAUGAGAGAGGCUAAUUAAGCAUAUUGAUAGAAAAAGGCACCUUGAGUGUGGUCAGGUUUUUUUUUUUUUAAAUAUACGUAAUUUAGCCACUUUAUGGUCUUUUUUGGUCAUUGAUUAGUUACUGUGUUUCUUAUACUACCUAAUACAAGAAAGAAGUUUCUUGGUAGGCUCAAGACAUUUGGAAAAAUAAGCUAAAUAAAUAAAUAAAUAUUUAAAUUAAAUUAAAAUUGAAAUUUAAAUAAGUUAAAUAAGAAAAAAAAUGGGAAAAAUAAAUUAGAGCCCCCCUCCAAAUAUUUGUUAAGCAUCAAUUAAUUGAAUUUCUAAACUGUGAGAAAUUAGAUGUUUAAUCAGUAAGUAAAUAAUAUAAAUACAGAGUCCCUUUAAUCCUGGAACUAACAAUUGCUUUGUGAAAGGAAUCUGUGAACACUUGAAUGAGAGUGCCUGAGGAUGUAGUGAUGCAAGAGGGUAAUGACAGUUGCCUACAACAGUGGAAGGAAGGGGCAAAGAAAGAUGCUAAGCAAGUGACAUACAAAUUAAACACACCUUCUUCAGAGAAGGGAGAUGUGGCCUGGAGUGGGCAGAAUCUUAUCUAGAGCUGACUGAUUUGAGGAUAAUUUUUUUUUUUAAUGUGGGAAGAGCAGAGAGAUGGAAUUUGAAGGGUGAAUGGCAUGAACAAUGGUAUAGAAAAGCAUUUGCAGGAUUGAACAGUUUAAGAACACAAGUAACGGAUGAUAAUGUUGUAAAGAUACGGUGAAUGGGACACCUAGAGAGAUGUGAAUGAUGUGCUUAUCCUUGGACCCUGCAACACUGUUCAAGUUUUGGGGUGCGGAAGAAUGACACUGUGAUUCAGAAAAUCAUGACACUGGAGACCGAUGUCGCAGAAUAGUCUAGAUGAGGUAAUGAUUAAGUAAGCUGCCAUCAUAUCCAUGGACAUGAAAAAAGAAAAGAGUUAUGUGAGCAUAUUUUGAAAUCAGAUAUUCAUAUAGUAUGUCCUUUCAAGCUGUCAGAAUAUAUCACACUUUUGCCAUAAGUUUCCAAAUGCAUCUUGCUUCUUUGAUCUCUCCUCCCUUUUAAAAAGAUCUGAUUGAAUGAGUGUAAGGUAAAUACAGAAAAAAAAAUAAGUGCAGAUAUCACAAGCUGAAAUUAAGAGCAAGAGAAUUUCACUUCUCUUGCUUAAGCAAGAGAACUCAUGAGGAACCUAGGUCAGCUCAAGUGUAGAUUAGAACGAAUGUGUGGGAACCUCUGUGUCCAAUAACAGGAACAAAAGCAAUUCAAUAAAGUGGUGAACAGCUAUCUUUUCUUUAUUUCUAACUCUUCUGUUCUGCUUCCUUUGUACAUAUGUGUUAUCUUUCUUAAAGUAAAAUUACUCUGCCCUUGCCUCAGAAAGCUCUAGAAAAUUAGCUACCUUCUGCUAAAUUGCUAGAUGAGAGGGCCGUAUUUCAAGAGGCCAGGCACACUGUGUUCCGAUUUAAGCUAUCCUCAGAAGAUCAGGAUUUCACAUUAUAAAAGGAUCCUGGAACUAACUGCCCUCUGAGUCAGCUCUAACUAAACUGGUUUGAAUUCCAAAGUAAAGAGAAUCUAUAAAUCUCAAUCCCAAUUUCAAAGCCAUCAAGAAAGAUGAGUACAGCCUCAAUGGUGCAUGGAGAUCCUCAGAAAUAGCGUGACAACAAA
Callithrix jacchus (white-tufted-ear marmoset) is the source of this 5813-nucleotide long non-coding RNA. RefSeq lists it as uncharacterized. The record is from RefSeq and is a predicted model, not a curated record. Lineage: Eukaryota; Metazoa; Chordata; Mammalia; Primates; Cebidae.